CCGCCAGCCCCGCGGGGAACGCCUGGCUCGCACCGCACCGCACCGCACGGCCCCGGGCUAGCCCGGGUGCAGAGAGGAGCGGCCGGGGCUUAGGGUGUAUUUGUGCCCCCCGCAGCUUCCUGCACCCCAAGCCCCGCCGCCCGCCCCCAGCAGCAGCGUCGCUCCCCUGCCUGGCCAGCGCCUUUCCCUGGCACCCCUAGAUACCUACUGCAGGGUGGGACAGCCUGCUUGUCUCUGCGGCGUGUAGCUACAGGACCAGCACAAAAUCUGGCCCAUUCCUGUCAUCAGAUCCACAUGGGCCACACUGGAGCUCCCUCUGGCAUCAGAUGUCUGGCACAGAUUGUGUUGCAGGAUCAGAGCCCCAGACAGUCCCUGCCCUGAGGAUAGUGAAGACGUUUACAAAAAGGUAGUGAAGAAAAGCUUAGAGACAUGAACCCCAGGUAACUGAUGCAGCAACGUCUGCCUGAGUCUGCAGACAGCCUGAAACAACACCACUAAGAGGGAUGAACUGUACCAUUCAACUCAGUGUUAACGCCAAGACCCACUGCCCUGUGUGGCUCUGCUAACACCAACCCAGCGGAGGACUGUGUGUGUGACAGGAGGAGAAGAGUGCAGCAGGCCUUGCCCACUUGUCCUGUAGCUGGGAUAUAGCUCCUAGGGUGCUGUUACAUUACACGUUACCAAACUCAGGCCUCAGCUGAAAAAAUGUGGUGAUAGUGUGUUUGCAUUUUGUAUUUGACUCUGAAGCCUGUUGGAACCAGGGAGAUCGUCUUUGGACACAGCCAUUACACUGAAUACCAAUUGGGCAAUAUGAGCCUGAUUAUUUCUGUCCUGCAUGAUGGAACAGUGAAACCUGAAGACAUCCCUGAUUGAGAUGCUGGUUGCUGGGAUUCAAACACAUUAUCUUGUAUUUUCUCUCAUAAUUGUUCUCCAGGAAACCUGCAAGACUUCCAGAAAUGCAAGGUGGAUACAAAUCAGGACAGGAAUAGAGAUUGUUCAGACUCUUGCUAAAGAAAUCAGAAGCCUUAAUGAUAGUUUCUCCCCAUAUCUUUUUAUAAAUCAUCUCCAGAGGAUCAAGAUGGAUGCUAACAGGGAAAAGGAAGAAGCAGCCUUUGGAAUUCCCCAAGCAGUAAAAGCCUGGGAAGACUUUAUAAAGUUUGAGAUCAGCAAAAUCACAGAUGAUAGGAGGCCUUAUUGUAGAUAUCCAUGGACAAAUGCACCCUGAGCAAUGGAUAGAAUUAGGUUUCACCCUUUCAAAAGCAUCACUCAACUCAGGGAAGUUUUCUGCAUCAGGCUCUUCUAUUCGCUAUCUUGCAAACCAGGCGCACAGUGUUUCCUUUGAGACUUUGCUCAGAGGAUCCAGAAGCUUGAGUAAAUUUAUUGAAGACCAGGACAACAACCAGUACCUUUGUGUUCCUUCUCCAACAAACCCCAAGCCAAAAACUGGGAAUUACAAUGGAGGCUAUAUCACGAAGACUUUUGGGUCUAGGUAUACUGGCAUUGUCAAUGUUAUUCAUAUUGAGCUUCCCCAGUGGGUGAGGAAUAUUAAAGUGUAUCCCAAGUUUUGUAAAGCAUUAGCAAGGGCUAUAAUAAAUUUCUGGCAAUAAAUCUCUGCAGCCAGAGAAACCAUAAGCUUCUAGGAUGAUAAAGGAAACAGACGUGUGUUAGCAUGGCUACUUUGCAAAGUAUAACAAUUAGUCUGAUGCACAGGAAUAUGGAUUUCCAUUUGGCUUUAACGUGCUUGGACUUCUUUAGGAAUAAAGCAGUGGGGCAGUGAAGGAAAAGAUCUAGAAUGCAAACAAAUGCAAUUCCAACGAUAAAAGGACAGUUGUCCGUACUGAAAACCCAUAACUAAUAGCAACAAACGAAUUACUAAACCAAUGCUUAUUAGUAGACCCCAUAAAAAAGAUUGGUAACUUUAGUGGUGCCCAGGCCAAACUGAGUGAGGGUAGCUGCAUUUCACCUACCUACUACAUCACUACUUUAUCUUGCUGAGAAAAUAUUUUUAGAUUCUGCAAUUUUGGUACCAUUCCUCCAAAUGACAUGGACCCUCCCUGAGACUGGUCCAUACGCCUGUUCUACAAUGAGUGGAGUGUAAGCAGAAUCCUGAGCUCAUUGAAAACCCUGGUGGAAGUUCCCUCUGGCUUCAAAGGGUACGGGAUCAAGCUUUUUGGUACAUGGGCUAAGAAUUCAAUGCCUACUGUCAUGAUGAUGGAACAGAGAGAGAAGCAAUUUUCUCUUUUCCAAUCUGUAGAGAGGAAGGUCUACAAUACAAUGAACCACAAUAUUCCUAAUAAAGAAUUAUUCUAUCUGCAUUGUGCAAUGCACAGAUAAAAUGUUAAAAUAGUUUUCUUAUUGAAAUGACGUAUGUCUCUUAUUAGGGGUAUUUUAAAAUAGAUAGGACCUUGUCAGACAAUGCCUAAUUUUGAUAAUAUAAACUUCAUGUAGGCUCUCUGGGACUGGGAUCAUUUUUUUAUUUGUCCAGUGCCUGGCACAGUGGGGUCCUAGUCCAUGAGUGGGGCUCUUAGGUGCUGUUGUAAUAGAAACAACUGCGCUUACUUGGCUUAGUCUACUGCAGGUUUUACAUUUAUCAAAGAAAAAGCUUCUUGAGCCUUACCCAGACUAUGCAGUGGUCCUGUUAAAUCUAAGCAGCUCUGGGCUGGGGUUAGUACUUGGAUGGAAGAUCUCCAAAGAAAGCACAUGUGCUGCAGGAAAUAGCCGAGGUGAUUCUGUACAUAGCAUUCUUACCUCUCGGAGCCUGGACCAUUGCCGACUGAAGUCAGUGGAAAUCAUUCCAUUAACUUAAUUCAGCAUUGGAUUGACCCAUCAGUCAGUACGGCAUAUAGCAUUGUUAGGGCAUGGCCACUGUGCUAUUGGGAAUAUCAUCAACAAAUGGAACAAUGGCGAAGCUGAUAGCAAUCUGAGUACAAAUCAGCAUUUAGGAAAUGCAGACAAUAAGGUAAGUUAAAAAAGUCUGUGGGCAGUAAGAAUGAAAGGGCACUAACAAGAAAUUUCUUAAAUCAGGAACAAAUGAAAUCCUAGUAGGGUGCAGGUCUGAUACUAGAUAAAGAUAGUAAAAUCGCCAAUCAUAAGGCACAUAUAUUCAGUAAAUAUUUCCAUUCUGUAGUUGGAAAGAAGCAGGAUGAUGUAGUCAUAUUUUACAACAAAAUUCCAUCAGUAACUAAGGAUGAUAAAAUAGUUAUUAAAAAUUGUUCAAUAGAUAGGGCUGGAGAACUUGCACACAGAAGUAUCAAAAGAAUUGGCCAAAGAAGUCUCUGAACCAUGAAUGUUAAUUUUUAACACAUCUUAGAACAUGGGGGAAAGUUUUAGAGGACUAGGAAUAUACUAAUUUGCCAAUAUCUUAAAAAUGUAAAUGACCCAGGUAACAAUAGGCUGGUGAACUGGACAUCACUUCUGGGCAAAAAUCAUGAAAGGGCUGAGAUGAGAUGCAAUUAGUAAAAAAUUAGCUGGCAGCAUAUUUAAUGCCAACCAACAUGGUGUGACGUAGGUCUCAAACAACGUUCAUAGUGUUUUUUGAUGAGUUGGCAAGAUUGGAUGAUAAAGGUAACUGUUGACAUAAGAGUUCUGUAAGGCAUUUGACUUAGUCCUGCAUGACAUUCUGAUCAGAAAACUAACACAAUACAAAAUCAAUGCAGCCCACAUUAAAUGGAUUAAAAACUGAUAGAUCACAAAAAGUAAUUGUAGAUUGUGACUUGCCCUCCAAUGGCAGUGCUCCUAGUGUGGUCCUGCAGGGAUCUGUUCCCAGCCCAGUGUUAGUCAAUAUCUUUAUCAAUGAUCUGGAAGAAAAUAUAAAAACCUUGCUGGACAGGGACCAGCCUGGAUAACUUGG
Mauremys reevesii (Reeves's turtle) is the source of this 3850-nucleotide long non-coding RNA. RefSeq lists it as uncharacterized. The record is from RefSeq and is a predicted model, not a curated record. NCBI's taxonomy places the organism in Eukaryota, Metazoa, Chordata, Testudines, Geoemydidae. The transcript is spliced from 4 exons.